CGUGUAGGCGGCGUCGUUAGUCGGAUGUGAAAGCCCUCGGCUCAACCGAGGAAGUGCAUCCGAUACUGCGAGGCUUGAGUGUUGGAGGGGGUGGCGGAAUUCCCGGUGUAGAGGUGAAAUUCGUAGAUAUCGGGAGGAACACCUGUGGCGAAGGCGGCCACCUGGACAACAACUGACGCUGAGACGCGAAAGCGUGGGUAGCAAACAGGAUUAGAUACCCUGGUAGUCCACGCUGUAAACGAUGAGUGCUAGACGUCACGGGUAUUGACCCCUGUGGUGUCGAAGUUAACACGUUAAGCACUCCGCCUGGGGAGUACGGUCGCAAGAUUAAA
Molecule: ribosomal RNA, 332 nt
Filed under: uncultured Pseudomonadota bacterium
Lineage: Bacteria; Pseudomonadati; Pseudomonadota
Description: bacterial SSU rRNA
Rfam family: Bacterial small subunit ribosomal RNA
Source: RNAcentral